RNAcentral lists this ribosomal RNA (253 nucleotides) under uncultured bacterium. RNAcentral describes it as "partial 16S ribosomal RNA". It matches the Rfam family "Bacterial small subunit ribosomal RNA", at positions 524 to 776 of the family's 1533-position model. The record is from RNAcentral.
UACGUAGGGUCCGAGCGUUGUCCGGAAUUAUUGGGCGUAAAGGGCUCGUAGGCGGUCCGUCGCGUCGGGAGUGAAAACUCGGAGCUUAACUCCGAGCCUGCUUCCGAUACGGGCAGACUAGAGGUCGGCAGGGGAGAGCGGAACUCCUGGUGUAGCGGUGGAAUGCGCAGAUAUCAGGAGGAACACCGGUGGCGAAGGCGGGACUCUGGGCCAUUACUGACGCUGAGGAGCGAAAGCGUGGGGAGCGAACAGG